RNAcentral lists this ribosomal RNA (497 nucleotides) under uncultured bacterium. RNAcentral describes it as "partial 16S ribosomal RNA". It matches the Rfam family "Bacterial small subunit ribosomal RNA", at positions 28 to 507 of the family's 1533-position model. The record is from RNAcentral.
GACGAACGCUGGCGGCGUGCCUAAUACAUGCAAGUAGAACGCUGAAGAGAGGAGCUUGCUCUUCUUGGAUGAGUUGCGAACGGGUGAGUAACGCGUAGGUAACCUGCCUGGUAGCGGGGGAUAACUAUUGGAAACGAUAGCUAAUACCGCAUAAAAUUGAUUAUUGCAUGAUAAUUAAUUGAAAGAUGCAACUGCAUCACUACCAGAUGGACCUGCGUUGUAUUAGCUAGUUGGUGAGGUAACGGCUCACCAAGGCGACGAUACAUAGCCGACCUGAGAGGGUGAUCGGCCACACUGGGACUGAGACACGGCCCAGACUCCUACGGGAGGCAGCAGUAGGGAAUCUUCGGCAAUGGGGGGAACCCUGACCGAGCAACGCCGCGUGAGUGAAGAAGGUUUUCGGAUCGUAAAGCUCUGUUGUAAGAGAAGAACGGGUGUGAGAGUGGAAAGUUCACACUGUGACGGUAUCUUACCAGAAAGGGACGGCUAACUACGUG